AGGAAAGCUGAUCCAUCUGAAAAUGGACAAUAACACAGUCACAUGUUUUGGAAAGACUGUUUUAUAAUGAAGGCUGGAUGGUUCCAGAUAAAAGGAUUUUGACAUUUAAGUGCACUGGCUGGCAUUAUCGUUUCAGGAAACAUAUGCACAGAGGAAGAGGCGGAAAACCACCAUGAACACAGAUCCAGAAGAAAUCAAGAGAUGUAUUUGUUGGCAACUGUUAUCUGUGAUCAUGUGACUAAAACCAACUGAAAACCACAUUCAGUACUACAGCAGCUCCUCCAUUGAAAUGAUAGCUUUUUUGUUUUCUUCUCUUCUGAAUAAA
Molecule: long non-coding RNA, 325 nt
Organism: Alligator sinensis (Chinese alligator)
Lineage: Eukaryota; Metazoa; Chordata; Crocodylia; Alligatoridae
Exons: 3
Source: RefSeq, a predicted model, not a curated record